GUGCUCGUUUCAGCAGUACAUGUACUAAAAUUGGAACGAUACAGAGAAGAUUAGCAUGGCCCCUACACAAGGAUGACACGCAAAUUUGUGAAGCAUUCCAUAUUUUU
Molecule: small nuclear RNA, 107 nt
Filed under: Spermophilus dauricus (Daurian ground squirrel)
Lineage: Eukaryota; Metazoa; Chordata; Mammalia; Rodentia; Sciuridae
Source: RNAcentral